GGGCCGAUAGCUCAACUGGCAGAGCAAGCGACUCUUAAUCGCUAGGUUGACGGUUCGAUUCCGUCUCGGCCCA
This 73-nucleotide transfer RNA is filed under the name Gemmatimonadetes bacterium 13_2_20CM_2_69_23. Its description in RNAcentral is "tRNA-Lys". It matches the Rfam family "tRNA". Rfam says of the family: Transfer RNA (tRNA) molecules are approximately 80 nucleotides in length. Lineage: Bacteria; Pseudomonadati; Gemmatimonadota. RNAcentral also lists the same sequence under 4 other names. The record is from RNAcentral.